This 264-nucleotide ribosomal RNA is filed under the name Triticum aestivum (bread wheat). Its description in RNAcentral is "partial small subunit ribosomal RNA". Lineage: Eukaryota; Viridiplantae; Streptophyta; Magnoliopsida; Poales; Poaceae. The record is from RNAcentral.
AUGUCUGUCGAGCAGGUGGAGGGCGUCCACGACCCCGAGGCCGAGGGCUUGCUCGCCUACGAGGGGUACCCCGCCCCGCGUCUGGGCCCGGCCCGCGAUGGGCUCUACCCGGGCACGCCCUUCACGCACAUUCUCGGCGACCUCGCCGCCGAGGGCGUCGGGGUCGACCCUGAGAUCACCCCGGCCCACCUCUUCUUCGUCGUCACAAGCGAUGGCGUGUUCGAGUUCCUCUCCAGCCAAGAAGUCGUCAACAUGCAUAAAUAG